This 64-nucleotide transfer RNA is filed under the name Meloimorpha japonica. RNAcentral's name for it is "tRNA-Ala". The record is from RNAcentral. Lineage: Eukaryota; Metazoa; Arthropoda; Insecta; Orthoptera; Phalangopsidae.
AGGAAUAUAGUUAAUUAUAACAUUUGAAUUGCACUCAAAAAGUAUUGAAAAUCAAUUAUUCUUA